Molecule: ribosomal RNA, 252 nt
Filed under: uncultured Lactobacillus sp.
Lineage: Bacteria; Bacillati; Bacillota; Bacilli; Lactobacillales; Lactobacillaceae
Description: partial 16S ribosomal RNA
Rfam family: Bacterial small subunit ribosomal RNA
Source: RNAcentral
CGGAGUAACACGUGGGUAACCCUGCCCAAGAGAUCGGGAUAACACCUGGAAACAGAUGCUAAUACCGGAUAACAACAGAUGAUGCCUAUCAACUGUUUAAAAGAUGGUUCUGCUAUCACUCUUGGAUGGACCUGCGGUGCAUUAGCUAGUUGGUAGGGUAACGGCCUACCAAGGCGAUGAUGCAUAGCCGAGUUGAGAGACUGAUCGGCCACAUUGGGACUGAGACACGGCCCAAACUCCUACGGGAGGGGU